This 216-nucleotide ribosomal RNA is filed under the name Glomeromycotina sp. RNAcentral's name for it is "partial small subunit ribosomal RNA". The stretch from base 54 to 216 matches the Rfam family "Eukaryotic small subunit ribosomal RNA", at positions 700 to 864 of the family's 1831-position model. Lineage: Eukaryota; Fungi; Glomeromycota. The record is from RNAcentral.
GGGUCAGUAGGUUGGUCGUGCCACCGGUACGUACUGAUCUCACUGGGUCCUCCUUCCUGAAGAACCGUAAUGCCAUUAAUUUGGUGUUGCGGGGAAACAGGACUGUUACUUUGAAAAAAUUAGAGUGUUUAAAGCAAGCUAACGCUUGAAUACAUUAGCAUGGAAUAAUGAAAUAGGACGAUCGAUCCUAUUUUGUUGGUUUCUAGGAUUGACGUA